Molecule: ribosomal RNA, 929 nt
Filed under: Ralstonia insidiosa
Lineage: Bacteria; Pseudomonadati; Pseudomonadota; Betaproteobacteria; Burkholderiales; Burkholderiaceae
Description: bacterial SSU rRNA
Rfam family: Bacterial small subunit ribosomal RNA
Source: RNAcentral
UUGAACGCUGGCGGCAUGCCUUACACAUGCAAGUCGAACGGCAGCAUGAUCUAGCUUGCUAGAUUGAUGGCGAGUGGCGAACGGGUGAGUAAUACAUCGGAACGUGCCCUGUAGUGGGGGAUAACUAGUCGAAAGAUUAGCUAAUACCGCAUACGACCUGAGGGUGAAAGUGGGGGACCGCAAGGCCUCAUGCUAUAGGAGCGGCCGAUGUCUGAUUAGCUAGUUGGUGAGGUAAAGGCUCACCAAGGCGACGAUCAGUAGCUGGUCUGAGAGGACGAUCAGCCACACUGGGACUGAGACACGGCCCAGACUCCUACGGGAGGCAGCAGUGGGGAAUUUUGGACAAUGGGGGCAACCCUGAUCCAGCAAUGCCGCGUGUGUGAAGAAGGCCUUCGGGUUGUAAAGCACUUUUGUCCGGAAAGAAAUCGCACUUACUAAUAUUAGGUGUGGAUGACGGUACCGGAAGAAUAAGGACCGGCUAACUACGUGCCAGCAGCCGCGGUAAUACGUAGGGUCCAAGCGUUAAUCGGAAUUACUGGGCGUAAAGCGUGCGCAGGCGGUUGUGCAAGACCGAUGUGAAAUCCCCGGGCUUAACCUGGGAAUUGCAUUGGUGACUGCACGGCUAGAGUGUGUCAGAGGGGGGUAGAAUUCCACGUGUAGCAGUGAAAUGCGUAGAGAUGUGGAGGAAUACCGAUGGCGAAGGCAGCCCCCUGGGAUAACACUGACGCUCAUGCACGAAAGCGUGGGGAGCAAACAGGAUUAGAUACCCUGGUAGUCCACGCCCUAAACGAUGUCAACUAGUUGUUGGGGAUUCAUUUCCUUAGUAACGUAGCUAACGCGUGAAGUUGACCGCCUGGGGAGUACGGUCGCAAGAUUAAAACUCAAAGGAAUUGACGGGGACCCGCACAAGCGGUGGAUGAUGUGGAUUA